This 468-nucleotide ribosomal RNA is filed under the name uncultured bacterium. RNAcentral's name for it is "partial 16S ribosomal RNA". It matches the Rfam family "Bacterial small subunit ribosomal RNA", at positions 28 to 507 of the family's 1533-position model. The record is from RNAcentral.
GACGAACGCUGGCGGCGUGCUUAACACAUGCAAGUCGAACGGAAAGGCCCUGCUUUUGUGGGGUGCUCGAGUGGCGAACGGGUGAGUAACACGUGAGUAACCUGCCCUUGACUUUGGGAUAACUUCAGGAAACUGGGGCUAAUACCGGGUAGGAGCUCCUGCUGCAUGGGGGGGGUUGGAAAGUGUCGGCGGUUGUGGAUGGACUCGCGGGUUAUCAGCUUGUUGGGGGGGUAGUGGCUUACCAAGGCUUUGACGGGUAGCCGGCCUGAGAGGGUGACCGGCGACAUUGGGACUGAGAUACGGACCAGACUCCUACGGGAGGCAGCAGUGGGGAAUAUUGCACAAUGGGCGGAAGCCUGAUGCAGCAACGCCGCGUGCGGGAUGACGGCUUUCGGGUUGUAAACCGCUUUCGCCUGUGACGAAGCGUGCGUGACGGUAAUGGGUAAAGAAGCACCGGCUAACUACGUG